RNAcentral lists this ribosomal RNA (253 nucleotides) under uncultured bacterium. Its description in RNAcentral is "partial 16S ribosomal RNA". It matches the Rfam family "Bacterial small subunit ribosomal RNA", at positions 524 to 776 of the family's 1533-position model. The record is from RNAcentral.
UACGGGGGGGGCAAGCGUUGUUCGGAAUUACUGGGCGUAAAGGGCUCGUAGGCGGCCAACUAAGUCAGACGUGAAAUCCCUCGGCUUAACCGGGGAACUGCGUCUGAUACUGGAUGGCUUGAGUUUGGGAGAGGGAUGCGGAAUUCCAGGUGUAGCGGUGAAAUGCGUAGAUAUCUGGAGGAACACCGGUGGCGAAGGCGGUUCUCUGGGCCUUACCUGACACUGAGGAGCGAAAGCGUGGGGAGCGAACAGG